UGCUGCUGCGUCUGACCUAAUCUCACAUCACAAGGCUGGACAUGAACAAAGAGACCGAGGGCAGGAACCAAGGGCUGCUCAGAGGAAGCUGACACAGGCUCACCAGAGGCAAGCUGGUAGAGUAACUGGCAGGAAAAUCUGUGACCUUUUAAAACCCAGAGUGCAGGCAUCGCUACCUGAGCAGCAGAGAAGUCACCUUCCCCAACAGUCAGAGAUGCCAUGACAAAGAGAAGAGAUUUCAAACUAUAAAAAGUGCUAUCUUAAGGCCCAUUCAGUGCUGGAGAGCUGGCCCAGGGAGUAAAGAGCUGGCUGUACUAACAUGAAGACCUGAGUUCGAGUCCCCAUGUGAAGGAAGCCCGACUGGGUGGCAAGCAUCUGUAACCCUGUGCUGAGUGAGGGACCUGAGAUCUCAUCAAACACCAGUUUGGACCAAUUCUACAGAGUAAACCUUCCAUCCUAGACUAGAGUCCCGGCUACUGCUGUACUGUUUACCACUGAAGUAACCCAAACACGGCACAAAUUCCUUCUCCUCUAUCGGGGUGAGGCCUGGUGCUCGGCUGCUGUCUCCUGCUCCAGAGGAGCCGUGUGCAAAGGCAGCUGUGAAACCGUAGAUGUCUCAGGAUCACUCCUUGAGUAAACUGCUGAACGCUGCUGUCAUGUGUGGACACGAGGCCAAGAUUUUUUUUGGAACUCGGAGUCCCGGAAGCGUUCUCAUUCUUCCUAUAACCAGUUUUAAUGCCUUAACCAAGGAAGAAUCAAGAAUUACAUUGGGAAGUUAAAGUCUAGCAAACCCACAGCCAGCGCUAAGGACAUUCUCGACAUCUGAGCAGAUGUGAGAGUACACGGUUUGUUCUUUUUGCUGAUGAACUGACAGAGAAAAUGAGAACUCUCCUGCUAAUCUUCAAAGCAGUUGUCUUUCACUUAUGUUUUUAUUGGUCGGCAGGGUGCAGAUUGAACCCAGGGUCACUCGCACACCAAACAAGCGAGUCACCGUUUCUCAGUAUCCCCAGACCAUUUCAUCUCUCACUCCAUCAGAGACGACCAGUAAACCCUGAGCCCUUCACGCUUUCCUGUUUCCUCUCUAAGUUCCGUUCUUAGUCCCCAAGCAGUGUGGGUCUGUGCCCAGGCACCAUGUCUACGGCCGGAGGAUCAUGGCUUCAGAAUCACUCUCUUAUGGUUUAAGAUUAAGAGAUUUUUAUCUAUCUAUCUAUCUAUCUAUCUAUUUAUUUAUUUUUACUGAAAUUGUAGAAUUCAGGGGGUGGUGCUCAUUUGUAUUGCUUGUGAUAUUUCAAAGAGUUCUACCAAGUAAGCGUGGGAGAUGGGAGAAUGUAUAGGGAGAAGAAUUGAGAGCAAGCCUUGGCAUGGUAGGGUACUCAUAGCUCCAGCCUUUUAGGGGCCGAGACAAGAUGUUUUCAUGAAGAAUUUGAAGCUAGCCUGGGUAAUAUAAUGAGACCAGGUAUAAAAAAACAAGUUUGGGUUUCAGAGAAGACACACACACACUCACACACACUCACACACACACACACACACACACACACUAUACUUUAAAAGUCAUUACAUUUCUAAUGGCAAGAAAAUAGUUUAUUUUAU
This is a non-coding RNA of Myodes glareolus (Bank vole), 1590 nucleotides long. The record is from RefSeq and is a predicted model, not a curated record. NCBI's taxonomy places the organism in Eukaryota, Metazoa, Chordata, Mammalia, Rodentia, Cricetidae.